RNAcentral lists this long non-coding RNA (1284 nucleotides) under Zonotrichia albicollis (white-throated sparrow). RNAcentral describes it as "lncRNA (ENSZALG00000002861.1)". Lineage: Eukaryota; Metazoa; Chordata; Aves; Passeriformes; Passerellidae. The record is from RNAcentral.
ACAGUUUUAAAAUGCUUAUAGCACUGGUAUCCUUUUUAUACCACUAACUGCAUUUAAUGCAGCCACAAAAAGAAAAACACUUUGCAAGUGCAAUUUAAGGUAUCACUGUAAAUACUAAAGUUAUCAUAACAACUACGUAGUACUUUGGAAGUUGAAUGUUGCAAACCUUCUUGCUGCAACCUCACUGAGGCUGCAGGAGCACUGACAUUUUUAAAAGCAUUUAGGUUGAAAUAUGUCAACAGAAUCUGAUAAAUUUAAUCAUAGUAAGCAAAACAAUGUCUAAGGAUUUAUGUUCUUCCUUUUUUCCUCUGGUUCUAUGAGUACCUUGACCAGAAAGAUAAGUAUUAGGAUUUUGGCAGCCAUUAAUCUCUCCUGGAUUAUUUUACGAUGCUGAGAGUGCCAGCCUGUCCCGCAGCUGCCACGCCAGCACAGGCCUGGUACCUCAGAGGAUGUGCCAAAUGCUUUGUGGUCGGGGCAAGGCACAGCCCAUGGAACCACCUGAGGCCCACAGCGUGCAGAGAUGAUGCCAGGCUGCUGAUCAGCCAUUGGAACAGAUAGCAGCACUGCCUUUUGCCUAUAUUUGGGCUAGAUGACUUUACUCUGGCUUAGCUUUCAGGAAGUGCAGUAUCCUGCUCCAAGUCACUGCAUGCUCAGAAAGCACCAAUGCUGCUCAUAGAGGGUCAAAACUGCUCUGGGUCACCUUUGUAAAGGUGCUGCAGCCCACAUUUAAAACAGAUCAGUGAAACACAUCCGCCAUCUUCUCAAAAAUAUUAGAGACAUUUGGAGAGAAACCAGAAGGACAGCAUAUGGUCAAAUCUCAGUGGGCCAGCCAUUUGUCUCAGCUCAGGGCUUCUCUCCCCACACUGGUUUUGCACUGCUCUGUUCCAUCAAGAUCAUGGAUUCCUUCCCUGUGGCAAUCAGCCAAGACAAGACAAGCUUCAGAGAUGACCUGCAGACUGAAGAAGGCCGAGCACCAACCACUCAAAACAACACAACAGAAAUGACUGAUCCAACACUGGCCAAAACUGAACUUCCUUUUAAAUCACCUUUUUUUUUUUUUUUUUUUUUUUUUUUUUUUUUGUGGGAGACAAAUGCAUCACUCUGCUUUUCUCUCCUGGAAUGGCACUGCAGCAGUGGGGAUAAGAUAAUGGACUUCAAUUUCUGUUGAUUUUCAAGAAAACAUUGGGAAAAUCUUCAAGGACUGUAAGACAACAGCCAUUACCAGAACAAACACAUGUGGAUGAAUAUUUUAACCACAGUUUCUCCACUUAAGAGGAAACCAAU